This is a long non-coding RNA of Acinonyx jubatus (cheetah), 3529 nucleotides long. RefSeq lists it as uncharacterized. The record is from RefSeq and is a predicted model, not a curated record. The transcript is spliced from 4 exons. Lineage: Eukaryota; Metazoa; Chordata; Mammalia; Carnivora; Felidae.
GCCGGGCUGCAGAAAGUGGGUGUGCGCGGGCGCCGGGCUGUAGAAAGUGGGUUUGCGCGGGCGCCGCGCUACAGCAAGUGCUAACCCCAAGCCCUAGCAUGGUCGUUACCUAGCGGUGUGACCUUGGACGAGUCCCUUCACCUCCCUGAUCCUUUGUUUCCCAUUGCAUUAGGGAGGGGGUGAAGUUAGACUGGUGUUUCUGGAACCCAUACUGGCUGCCAGAAGGAAGAAAGGAUGCCUGUUCUGGGGGAGAAGACUGACAUUCCUCCUCCCUGUCUCCCCUGUGUCGGGAUCUCUGCGGCCUGAGUGCCGUGACUGAGGCACAGUCCUGCCUUGAACUGGCUGUGUGACCUGAAGGCAGCCGCUUCACCUCUCUGGUCUCAGCGUCCUCCUCGGCAGAAGAGGCAGUGAUGCUCAGGUUAAUGGAGUACCUACUGCGGCCCAGGCCCUGUUUUAGUCUCUGCAUACUCCUGAGAAAGAUGUGAUGAACUCGACAAAUUCCUUCGUUCUACAGGAAGAAAGGUUAUACAAGAGCAGUGGGCUUCUGAGAAAAUGAGGAAAUGCUAACCUCAUUGACCGGCCUCCUGCACCUGCCCCGAGGGACAGUAAUAAGAACCCCAUCUCGCAGAACACCUCUGCUGUAUGACGGGCCUUGAUAAUAUUCCCUCUGUGGAUGAGGUAAGUUACGAGUCAGUCGUUCAAAUUCACAUGACCGUUAGAUGCUACAGCUGGGACUCAAACCUGAGCUGUAAGUUUUUGGCCAGCAGCUCCGAGCCCUACAACUACCCUUCCUGGGGGAAGACCAGCAGGACGGACAGGGCCUCUGGAUUCCUUUGGAAGCGUCAGAGGAAAGCCUCCCCAGAUACUUGUCACGGCCUGUGUGUAGCCGAGAGCUGAUGCUAAAGGGAUCGUGGGAGCUUGUGCCCCGUGAGGGUUCCCCUGGUAGCCUGACGAGUUGGGGCUGGCUGGGGGCGAGGGAGGGGAGCCAGAAAGGCAUCUCCUUUUCCCUCCGUUUACCUCUUUGGUCCCUGACAGGCUAGGAGAAGUGGUGAACAGAGCUCUUGCCUGUGUGGGUUUUUCUAAAAGCUUUGGAUGACAGGCACAGAUACUUCCCCUAAUUAUAUCUCUGCCUUUUCCAAAAAUUGGAAAGGCCGAUUGAGAAGAAAGAAGCCUGGAUCCCUCUUAGAGCUGUCCUGAGAGUCACAGAGGGUUGUUCUGGGAUUCUGGGAACCUAAGGUGAUGAGGUGAUUCCAAGGACCCAGCCCCAGGGCCCUGAGGUGCAGGUAGACACCUGGGCAGAGGGAGGGGUUCCACAUUUAAUCCCACCCCAGCCUUGGGUCGUGUGCGGAACUUGCAGCCAGCCUGGGAAAGCUACAGCUGCAAAGACAAUCUGGAAAUGGCCCAAAGUCCUGAAUAACCCCAGGGAACCAUAGGUCUAAUCCACAGGCCACCUGGUGUGUGUUUGAAACCCUGGGGAGAACGGGAUGUGUUCCUGAAGCAGAGUGGAGGGGGAAGCCUCAGGCCUUAGCCAAGAAAGAUGUAGAACACAGAGAAGCCGAAAGCCGAGUACUUUGGGACGGUGGGAUGUAGCCGCUGGAGGUGUGGGAUUACGCCGAGCAGGGAGCUAGUCAGAGGGGGGAGGUACCUAGAGCCAAGAGAUGCCUGGUGGUGGAGAAAAGCAGCUGAGCAUGCACAGAAGAGGACACAUUGAGCAGUGUCAGGGAGGGACUGACAAGGACAAGGACCUGUGGGCUGGCAGAUGAGACAGAAAGCAUCAGACAGGCAGGCAGAGAGCCUGAGGGGUGUGGGCUGCGAUGCGGUGGGGGCCACCGGGGGUUGUCUUUGGCACGGGGCUGAUGAAUUUGAGCUGCAGAGUAUUGUUUGGCACGAGGUAUUGCGGUGAGGGUAGAGGUGUGGACAGAAUCGGGAAGCAAGCUCCGUGUGCAGUGGGAGAGCCUCGGGGACAGCCCUCCUCAAGCAAAGGAAGGCUCACGGGGGUCCCUUCCAAGGGGGCAGUGGUUUGGCAUCCCUUCACCCUGCGCACCGGAGCAAAGUGGUGGGAAUGCCUUUUCUAGACCACACGUUAGAAGUCCAUUUGACACAGACCUGCACUGACUGUUCAGGUCAGAGAGGGAUCGGAGUAAGAAAGCUCUCAAAGCGGUUCCAAGGGUCCUGCCUGAGGAGCUCUGGGCCAGUCAGCUCCCAGGUCGUGCCACAACUUUCCCCUUGUCGGUGCAGACAGCGCAGCUCUCUUCCAGGAAACCGUGCCGCCCUGGGCCUUGCAGAUCCAAGGGCCAUCUUACGAGGACACUCCUGUUACACCCGUGCCUCCUCAGCCAUCUGCCUUCUCGUGCUGGGCUCACCUGCUCACCCUUCCUUCUUCGAACUGCACCAGCCGCCUGCCUUGCUAAGAACAGUUACCCACGGUGUGAAAAUAAGGCAAGGGAGGGAUGCGUGUCCUUUCACUGCUGUGCUGGAGUUUGAUAUGAAGGCUCUUCCAAGGAUUCUUCAAUGAUGCGUACCCUCACUUGGCUCACCGUUUGCUAUUGAUCAGGACCUGGAUCCACUGGUUACUUGGAGAUUCAUGCCGCCAGAUGGAGACACGAAUGAUUUCUGCCUGGUAGAAAAGAUGACCCCAAAGGGUAUGGUUAUGGAGGGACAUACACCAAUUUUGAAAAUCUAACCCAGUAGCUGUCUUAUCCCACAUUCUUCUUCAGUGGCUUUAACACCAUACUUCAGAUGCUCCCUCAGUCAGCUUGUCUCCCUACCUGUUCCUUCAUGAAUGAGUAAAAGGAAUCUUUGACGCGUUUACGCUGUUAUUAUGCAUUCGUGUUUUGAACAUUUUGAACAUUUGGCAGCUUUAGAGAUUGUGCCACAUAAAGACCCAAAAGGGCUCACUUGCCCAAGAAGGGCCUCGCGUGCUGCGUAGUCUCAGGAACUGCCUCUCCUGAGGCUCCAGUGGAUUACUGAUCCCAUGAACCAACAUCAGUUCUGUGUCACGGUUAAAAUUAAGAGAAGCGUAAAAUUUAGCGUUCACUAAUCUGAAUGAGAGUUCUGACAAGUUUUACAUCAACUAUUACCGUAUCCUUUCUAUAGUGCAUCAGCUUAAAUAUAAUUCUCAACGUCCUUAGUUAAAAGUAAAACCUUAGCUUAAUAUUAAAUCAAAGUCAUGAACGGACGGUGUUUGGAUACCUGAAGAGUUUUUAAAUAAGCUAGCCCAUUGAAACGUGGAGCCAACUUCAUUUUGGAAAUGUGACCUUCUUUUUACCGGGAUAUAAUUAGACCAAAUAAUUCGGGAACCAAGGUCAUGCCUGGCAUGUCAUCUUUAAAAAUGCCUUUUAUUGGGGCGCCUGGGUGGCUCAGUCGGUUGAGCAGCAGACUUCGGCUCAGGUCAUGAUCUCGCGGUCCGUGAGUUCGAGCCCCGCGUCAGGCUCUGUGCUGACAGCACAGAGCCUGGAGCCUGCUUCAGAUUCUGUGUCUCCCUCUCUCUCUGACCCUCCCCCGUUCAUGCUCUGUCUCUCUCUGUCUC